This 1007-nucleotide ribosomal RNA is filed under the name uncultured bacterium. RNAcentral describes it as "bacterial SSU rRNA". It matches the Rfam family "Bacterial small subunit ribosomal RNA", at positions 331 to 1352 of the family's 1533-position model. The record is from RNAcentral.
CCAGACUCUCUACGGGAGCAGCAGUGGGGAUCUGCACAAUGGCGAAGCUGAUGCAGCGACGCCGCGUGAGGGAUGACGGCUUCGGGUUGUAAACUCUUUCAGUUGGGACGAAGCCCUUCGGGGUGACGGUACCUUCAGAAGAAGCACCGGCUAACUACGUGCCAGCAGCCGCGGUAAUACGUAGGGUGCGAGCGUUAUCCGGAAUUAUUGGGCGUAAAGAGCUCGUAGGCGGUUUGUCACGUCUGCUGUGAAAGCUCGGGGCUUAACCUCGAGUUUGCAGUGGGUACGGGCAGGCUAGAGUGCAGUAGGGGAGACUGGAAUUUCUGGUGUAGCGGUGAAAUGCGCAGAUAUCAGGAGGAACACCGAUGGCGAAGGCAGGUCUCUGGGCUGUUACUGACGCUGAGGAGCGAAAGCAUGGGGAGCGAACAGGAUUAGAUACCCUGGUAGUCCAUGCCGUAAACGUUGGGCACUAGGUGUGGGGAACAUUUCCACGUUUUCCGCGCCGUAGCUAACGCAUUAAGUGCCCCGCCUGGGGAGUACGGCCGCAAGGCUAAAACUCAAAGGAAUUGACGGGGGCCCGCACAAGCGGCGGAGCAUGCGGAUUAAUUCGAUGCAACGCGAAGAACCUUACCAAGGCUUGACAUGCACUAGAUCGCCCUAGAGAUAGGGUUUCCCUUCGGGGCUGGUGUACAGGUGGUGCAUGGUUGUCGUCAGCUCGUGUCGUGAGAUGUUGGGUUAAGUCCCGCAACGAGCGGAACCCCUAUUCUAUGUUGCCAGCAAUUCGGUUGGGGACUCAUGGAAGACUGCCGGGGUCAACUCGGAGGAAGGUGGGGACGACGUCAAAUCAUCAUGCCCCUUAUGUCUUGGGCUUCACGCAUGCUACAAUGGCCGGCACAAUGGGUUGCGAGACUGUGAGGUUGAGCUAAUCCCAUAAAACCGGUCUCAGUUCGGAUUGGGGUCUGCAACUCGACCCCAUGAAGUCGGAGUCGCUAGUAAUCGCAGAUCAG